This 497-nucleotide ribosomal RNA is filed under the name uncultured bacterium. RNAcentral describes it as "partial 16S ribosomal RNA". It matches the Rfam family "Bacterial small subunit ribosomal RNA", at positions 28 to 507 of the family's 1533-position model. The record is from RNAcentral.
GAUGAACGCUGGCGGCGUGCCUAAUACAUGCAAGUCGAGCGAACGGACGAGAAGCUUGCUUCUCUGAUGUUAGCGGCGGACGGGUGAGUAGCACGUGGAUAACCUACCUAUAAGACUGGGAUAACUUCGGGAAACCGGAGCUAAUACCGGAUGAUAUUUUGAACCGCAUGGUUCAAAAGUGAAAGACGGUCUUGCUGUCACUUAUAGAUGGAUCCGCGCUGCAUUAGCUAGUUGGUAAGGUAACGGCUUACCAAGGCAACGAUGCAUAGCCGACCUGAGAGGGUGAUCGGCCACACUGGAACUGAGACACGGUCCAGACUCCUACGGGAGGCGACAGUAGGGAAUCUUCCGCAAUGGGCGAAAGCCUGACGGAGCAACGCCGCGUGAGUGAUGAAGGUCUUCGGAUCGUAAAACUCUGUUAUUAGGGAAGAACAUAUGUGUAAGUAACUGUGCACAUCUUGACGGUACCUAAUCAGAAAGCCACGGCUAACUACGUG